This 586-nucleotide ribosomal RNA is filed under the name uncultured bacterium. Its description in RNAcentral is "partial 16S ribosomal RNA". It matches the Rfam family "Bacterial small subunit ribosomal RNA", at positions 355 to 1375 of the family's 1533-position model. The record is from RNAcentral.
UGGGGAAUUUUGGACAAUGGGCGAAAGCCUGAUCCAGCAAUGCCGCGUGUGUGAAGAAGGCCUUCGGGUUGUAAAGCACUUUUGUCCGGAAAGAAAUCCUUGGCUCUAAUACAGUCGGGGGAUGACGGUACCGGAAGAAUAAGCACCGGCUAACUACGUGCCAGCAGCCGCGGUAAUACGUAGGGUGCAAGCGUUAAUCGGAAUUACUGGGCGUAAAGCGUGCGCAGGCGGUUUGCUAAGACCGAUGUGAAAUCCCCGGGCUCAACCUGGGAACUGCAUUGGUGACUGGCAGGCUAGAGUAUGGCAGAGGGGGGUAGAAUUCCACGUGAUAGCAGUGAAAUGCGUAGAGAUGUGGAGGAAUACCGAUGGCGAAGGCAGCCCCCUGGGCCAAUACUGACGCUCAUGCACGAAAGCGUGGGGAGCAAACAGGAUUAGAUACCCUGGUAGUCCACGCCCUAAACGAUGUCAACUAGUUGUUGGGGAUUCAUUUCCUUAGUAACGUAGCUAACGCGUGAAGUUGACCGCCUGGGGAGUACGGUCGCAAGAUUAAAACUUAAAUGAAUUGACGGGGUCAUAGCUGUUUCCU